AUGUUUUGGAAACAUCACAUCUACCAGAAAAAUAAGGGAGCGCAGCGGUACGGUGGUGCAGUCGAGCGGUGCUGGUUUAAGCUGCCCAUAUCCUGCUGCUUGUUCCCAUGCUCCCUGUUUCGUGUCCCGCACGGUUGCCUGCGGGGCCAGGCAGUGACCUGUUCGGAGUUAAAAAUAACAAGUAUCUUUCUGUCUUUCGUGGUUAUUGUCGUUGCUUUGAGCUGGAGCAGUUCGCUGGUUCGCUGCAUGGCUCCGGCGUGCGCCCGCGCGGCCCGAAAAGGACUCCUGAAAAACCGGCAGGAGAUGAAUAGCCUUUGCCCGUCUCCAUUAAUUUCCUGAGCAGCGCGGCGUGCUGGAAGAAGUUUCUGUGCGCGCCUGAACGGAAAGCUGUGCCAUCCUGAAAGUCGCUCCGUUUUCUGGCGGUUGUCUUCAUAGGUCACGGGAGAGGCCUAAACUUUGUGUUUUCUUUGCAGGCUCUCGCUCCCCCUCGUGUCUGCGGAGAGCUUUUGCAGCCUGUCAUCUUGCCUCAAACUGCCUUUACCUUUCUGUUUUCACAGUGGAGCGUGCGCGCUUCGGAGGGCUGCCUAGCUUUCAUGCUUCUGCUGCAACAGCUCGGGAUCGGCCAUUACAUUUCACUCGGCUUUUCAGGGUAAAAGGGGCCAGUUUGGCAAGCCAAGUAUUUCCGUGCAGUCCAGCGAUGAUUGCUAAUUUUCAUUCUCCAGUCAGGGCUUUAUUCCUGUAUUUCAGUGAUUAGCUUUUAGUUCCCCAAAGCUUUAUAUUCCUCGAGGUUGGAGCCAGUUCCCUUCCCUGCUCUGAANNNNNNNNNNNNNNNAAGAGCGUCCUUGGCUCAUUGGGCCCAAUGAUCGUUUCAUCUCUGUGCUGAAGUGGGUUUUUUAAAGCCUUUUCUCUUCGACUCAUUAGCACUUUUCCUAGAGCUGGGUACAUACGCAGCACGGUUCGGCAGCUCUCUGAUUAUCUCAGCGGUGUUGUUACCUGGGCCAUGGGACACUAGAGGCUGCCAGAAUACCCCAUGCAAUGGCAAAACCUUGCAUCUUUUUAUAACAAACAUUGAACGGAGGGUCGUGGGCGUUAGAAACCACCAUCCACAGGGUGGCAUCCGGCAGAGCGUGUUUUCACUGUGUCCUCCUCAUCUUUCACGUGAAGGGAUCAUACCUUUGGGGAAGAGGACCUUAAUGGGCUUAGUGCCCGAAACAGCCACAGCUCUCCCGUUAACGUCGACUGGAGUUUUACCAUCAGAUUACCUGAUUCUGCACCGCUUCUGAAGCAGUCGCUACUUUAUCGUGGUAGGCGGGGUGUUUUGGCAUUCCUUCUUAAACUU
This 1339-nucleotide long non-coding RNA is filed under the name Struthio camelus australis. RNAcentral's name for it is "lncRNA (ENSSCUG00000011609.1)". Lineage: Eukaryota; Metazoa; Chordata; Aves; Struthioniformes; Struthionidae. The record is from RNAcentral.